Molecule: non-coding RNA, 26 nt
Filed under: Homo sapiens (human)
Lineage: Eukaryota; Metazoa; Chordata; Mammalia; Primates; Hominidae
Source: RNAcentral
UGGAGAUCCUGGAGCUGUACUGUGAC